This 389-nucleotide ribosomal RNA is filed under the name uncultured bacterium. RNAcentral's name for it is "partial 16S ribosomal RNA". It matches the Rfam family "Bacterial small subunit ribosomal RNA", at positions 523 to 918 of the family's 1533-position model. The record is from RNAcentral.
AGACGUAGGUGGCGAGCGUUGUCCGGAAUUACUGGGCGUAAAGGAUGCGUAGGUGGAUACUUAAGUGGGAUGUGAAAUCCCCGGGCUCAACCCGGGAACUGCAUUCCAAACUGGGUAUCUAGAGUGCAGGAGCGGAAAGCGGAAUUCCUAGUGUAGCGGUGAAAUGCGUAGAUAUUAGGAGGAACACCAGUGGCGAAGGCGGCUUUCUGGACUGUAACUGACACUGAGGCAUGAAAGCGUGGGUAGCAAACAGGAUUAGAUACCCUGGUAGUCCACGCCGUAAACGAUGAGUACUAAGUGUUGGGGGAACCCAGUGCUGUAGUUAACAUAUUAAGUACUCCGCCUGGGGAGUACGUACGCAAGUAUGAAACUCAAAGGAAUUGGCGGGG